UGCUACUUUAUUCGCACUAUAGCGAUUUUUGGAAGCAUUCACGAUGUAUUUAAUGUAUUAUCUUGACGGAAAUGGUGACAGAGUGUAUACUCUGAAGAAAGUCGAUCCGAAGGGCAGACCCACGGCAUCAGCUCAUCCUGCCCGAUUUUCACCAGAGGAUAAAUACUCCCGAGAGAGAAUAAUGACAAAGAGAAGAUUUUAUUUGCUUCCAACGCAACAGCCACAGUACGCCUGCUGAUAACGCAGUCGAGUGAGGUGAAACAGGAAUGCAAACAGUGGAACAUAUUUUUGUAGUGAAUUUGUGUAAUGUUUGUUAAUUGAACAUAAAGUGCUAGUGAGAAAUUGCGAACGUAUUAAAGGACUCCAUGUAGUAGUUUCAUGCUAAAAUUAUAUCGUGCGCUAAUUGAAAUAUAUUGAUGUUAUAAGGAG
Schistocerca cancellata (South American locust) is the source of this 429-nucleotide long non-coding RNA. RefSeq lists it as uncharacterized. The transcript has 2 exons. Lineage: Eukaryota; Metazoa; Arthropoda; Insecta; Orthoptera; Acrididae. The record is from RefSeq and is a predicted model, not a curated record.